Molecule: unclassified non-coding RNA, 391 nt
Filed under: soil metagenome
Description: partial contains 5.8S ribosomal RNA, internal transcribed spacer 2, and large subunit ribosomal RNA
Rfam family: 5.8S ribosomal RNA (bases 1-122)
Source: RNAcentral
GAUGAAGAACGUAGCGAAAUGCGAUACUUGGUGUGAAUUGCAGAGUCCCGUGAACCAUCGAGUCUUUGAACGCAAGUUGCGCCCGAAGCCAUUAGGCCGAGGGCACGCCUGCCUGGGCGUCACACGUCGUUGCCCCCCCAUCUACUCCUUCGGGAUUGCGGGGGGCGGAUGAUGGCCUCCCGUGCGCCUCGUCGCGCGGUUGGCAUAAAUACCAAGUCCUCGGCGACGCACGCCACGACAAUCGGUGGUUGCGAAACCUCGGUUGCCCGUCGUGUGCGGUCGUCGCGCAUCGAGGGCUCGAAAAAAUUGCCGGGCUCCGGCUCGGCUUUCAACGCGACCCCAGGUCAGGCGGGGUUACCCGCUGAAUUUAAGCAUAUCAAUAAGCGGAGGA